RNAcentral lists this ribosomal RNA (1164 nucleotides) under uncultured bacterium. RNAcentral's name for it is "bacterial SSU rRNA". It matches the Rfam family "Bacterial small subunit ribosomal RNA", at positions 224 to 1399 of the family's 1533-position model. The record is from RNAcentral.
GAUGGGCUCGCGACUGAUUAGAUAGUUGGUGAGGUAACGGCUCACCAAGGUGAUGACGGGUAGCCGGUCUGAGAGGAUGUCCGGCCACACUGGAACUGAGACACGGUCCAGACACCUACGGGUGGCAGCAGUCGAGAAUCAUUCACAAUGGGGGAAACCCUGAUGGUGUGACGCCGCGUGGGGGAAUGAAGGUCUUCGGAUUGUAAACCCCUGUCAUGUGGGAGCAAAUUAAAAAGAUAGUACCACAAGAGGAAGAGACAGCUAACUCUGUGCCAGCAGCCGCGGUAAUACAGAGGUCUCAAGCGUUGUUCGGAAUCACUGGGCGUAAAGCGUGCGUAGGCUGUUUCGUAAGUCGUGUGUGAAAGGCGCGGGCUCAACCCGCGGACGGCACAUGAUACUGCGAGACUAGAGUAAUGGAGGGGGAACCGGAAUUCUCGGUGUAGCAGUGAAAUGCGUAGAUAUCGAGAGGGACACUCGUGGCGAAGGCGGGUUCCUGGACAUUAACUGACGCUGAGGCACGAAGGCCAGGGGAGCGAAAGGGAUUAGAUACCCCUGUAGUCCUGGCAGUAAACGGUGCACGCUUGGUGUGCGGGGAAUCGACCCCCUGCGUGCCGGAGCUAACGCGUUAAGCGUGCCGCCUGGGGAGUACGGUCGCAAGAUUAAAACUCAAAGAAAUUGACGGGGACCCGCACAAGCGGUGGAGUAUGUGGCUUAAUUCGAUGCAACGCGAAGAACCUUACCUGGGCUUGACAUGUAAUGAACAACAUGUGAAAGCAUGCGACUCUUCGGAGGCGUUACACAGGUGCUGCAUGGCCGUCGUCAGCUCGUGUCGUGAGAUGUUUGGUUAAGUCCAGCAACGAGCGCAACCCCUGUUGCCAGUUACCAGCACGUGAAGGUGGGGACUCUGGCGAGACUGCCCAGAUCAACUGGGAGGAAGGUGGGGACGACGUCAGGUCAGUAUGGCCCUUAUGCCCAGGGCUGCACACGUACUACAAUGCCCAGUACAGAGGGGGCCGAAGCCGCGAGGCGGAGGAAAUCCUGAAAACUGGGCCCAGUUCGGACUGUAGGCUGCAACCCGCCUACACGAAGCCGGAAUCGCUAGUAAUGGCGCAUCAGCUACGGCGCCGUGAAUAAGUUCCCGGGUCUUGUACACACCGCCCGUCA